AGCAGGAAGGCUUGCAGUAAAAUCCUCAUAGCUUUGGGUGGGCUCACCAAGCUUCUCCACAAUGACUUGCUUUGCCUUCUCCUCAAUCUUGAAAACUAUAUACCGGUAUGUUCUUUUUGCCUUGAGCUCCAAGAACCUCAAUUUGCAGUCAUCAUGGACUGCCAUGCCAGAAGCAGCAUUGGCCAAAGUAAAAAAGCUGAUGAGGCAGCAGAGAUUUCGCAGGCAAAUAGAAAAGGAAGUGACGAGGAAGAUCAAAACCGU
Molecule: unclassified non-coding RNA, 261 nt
Filed under: Hevea brasiliensis (rubber tree)
Lineage: Eukaryota; Viridiplantae; Streptophyta; Magnoliopsida; Malpighiales; Euphorbiaceae
Source: RNAcentral